This is an RNA transcript of Quercus robur (English oak), 1387 nucleotides long. It is a transcript of the gene named pre-mRNA cleavage factor Im 25 kDa subunit 2-like, with no coding region annotated. The record is from RefSeq and is a predicted model, not a curated record. NCBI's taxonomy places the organism in Eukaryota, Viridiplantae, Streptophyta, Magnoliopsida, Fagales, Fagaceae. The transcript has 8 exons.
CCUCCGUCACUGCUUGCUCAAGCACGGUCUGUUUUUCUUCGUUUUAAUACUCAGCUGGCUCAGCUAGGCUUGUCUUUGGAUCAGUGUGGGAAAAUCAAUCAAUCAAUGGAGGAUAUGGUGAGCUCAACGGUGGUGAACACGUACCCACUCUCCAGCUACACCUUCGGUACCAAAGAGCCCAAGAUUGAGAAAGACUCCUCCGUCGCCGAUCGUCUUGCUCGCAUGAAACUCAACUAUUUUAAAGAAGGCAUGAGGACUAGUGUUGAAGCAAUCCUACUGGUGCAAGAACAUAAGCAUCCUCACAUUCUUCUUUUGCAAAUUGGAAACACAUUCUGCAAACUUCCCGGGGGACGUUUGAAGCCUGGAGAAAAUGAAAUUGAAGGCUUGAAGAGGAAACUGACGAGCAAAUUGGGCGCUAAUCAACCUUCACUUCAACCUAAUUGGCAGAUUGGUGAGUGCGUGGCAAUCUGGUGGAGACCAAACUUUGAAACGGUGAUGUAUCCUUACUGCCCUCCCCACAUCACAAAACCCAAGGAGUGUAAGAAGCUUUACAUUGUUCAUUUGUCUGAAAGAGAGUAUUUUGCUGUACCGAAAAAUCUGAAAUUGCUUGCUGUUCCCCUUUUUGAGCUCUAUGAUAAUGUUCAGAGAAAGAGAUGAUGAUAAUGGUCUCCCUGAUGUUACGCCUAGUAAUAAUGCUUACUCAUAUGAGGAGAAUGCUAGCCAUAGCCACAGCUGUACAGCACCUGUAUCUUUUUUUCUCAAAUAAAUGUGAACCAUGUAUUACACGUGACCAACCUGGAGCAUGUGUAGCAUGGAGUUCAUAACUGCUAGAGAUAUGGACCUGUUAUUUCGACAAUCCCACAGCAGCUGUCCAGAUUCCAGUUCAACAUGAUCACCACCUGAAAGGCUUAUAAAGGAAUCCAUGCCAUCAGAACUAAUCAUUCUUUAGGAGAACAUAUAUGACAUCUACUUACCAAAAUUAGGAUUCUCCUAAUCAGCAAAUAGACUUGUUACUCAAGCUAAUGUAGCUUAGCUUUAUGGUCUACUCCGGUGGUCUUUCAUAUGAAACUGUAAUGUGUACCUCCAAUUCGAAGGCCUUUGCAUGGUUGAAAUUUUGUUUGUUUUGUGCUGACAAAAAGAAGAUAGGUCCACUGUUAUUUUCAUGUUUCAAGAGUAUUGUGUGGGGCUAUGGAGAUUGUAGCUUGUGCUUCUCCAGAAAUAUUUUUAGGUGGAAACUAUAAGAACCAAGCUAAUGAUACCAACAUUGUACUUGUUAACCAAGAAAUUAUGGCACUUUCUGAAAGCUUGGGAGAGGAAGGGUAAAAAGAGAAGGGGGACUUUCAUGAUGGAUCAUGUAUGGAAAACUUACACAAAGGUUUGCAGGUCA